UGCAAGUCGAACGAGACUUUUCGUUGUAGCAAUACGAUGGAAAGUUUAGUGGCGAACGGGUGCUUAACACGUGGGCAACCUGCCAUGAAGUGGGGGAUAGCUCGCCGAAAGGCGAAUUAAUACCGCAUGUGAUUAGAGAGGACAUCCUUUCGAAAUUAAAGUCGGGGCAACCUGACGCUUCUUGUGGGGCCCGCGGCCUAUCAGCUAGUUGGUGAGGUAACGGCUCACCAAGGCUUUGACGGGUAGCUGGUCUGAGAGGACGACCAGCCACACUGGGACUGAGACACGGCCCAGACACCUACGGGUGGCAGCAGUCGAGAAUUUUUGACAAUGGGGGAAACCCUGAUCGAGCGACGCCGCGUGGAGGAUGAAGGUCUUCGGAUUGUAAACUCCUGUCAUUGGGGAACAAGGUGCAUACGUUAACUGCGUGUGUAUUGAUAGUACCCGAAGAGGAAGAGACGGCUAACUCUGUGCCAGCAGCCGCGGUAAUACAGAGGUCUCAAGCGUUGUUCGGAUUCAUUGGGCGUAAAGGGUGCGUAGGCGGCGCGGUAAGUCGGGUGUGAAAUCUCGGAGCUUAACUCCGAAACUGCAUUCGAUACUGCCGUGCUUGAGGACUGGAGAGGAGACUGGAAUUUACGGUGUAGCGGUGAAAUGCGUAGAUAUCGUAAGGAAGACCAGUGGCGAAGGCGGGUCUCUGGACAGUUCCUGACGCUG
This 714-nucleotide ribosomal RNA is filed under the name uncultured Verrucomicrobiota bacterium. RNAcentral describes it as "bacterial SSU rRNA". It matches the Rfam family "Bacterial small subunit ribosomal RNA", at positions 56 to 748 of the family's 1533-position model. Lineage: Bacteria; Pseudomonadati; Verrucomicrobiota. The record is from RNAcentral.